GACGAACGCUGGCGGCGUGCUUAACACAUGCAAGUCGAACGGAAAGGCCCUGCUUUUGUGGGGUGCUCGAGUGGCGAACGGGUGGGUAACACGUGAGUAACCUGCCCUUGACUUUGGGAUAACUUCAGGAAACUGGGGCUAAUACCGGAUAGGAGCUCCUGCUGCAUGGUGGGGGUUGGAAAGUUUCGGCGGUUGGGGAUGGACUCGCGGCUUAUCAGCUUGUUGGUGGGGUAGUGGCUUACCAAGGCUUUGACGGGUAGCCGGCCUGAGAGGGUGACCGGCCACAUUGGGACUGAGAUACGGCCCAGACUCCUACGGGAGGCAGCAGUGGGGAAUAUUGCACAAUGGGCGGAAGCCUGAUGCAGCAACGCCGCGUGCGGGAUGACGGCCUUCGGGUUGUAAACCGCUUUCGCCUGUGACGAAGCGUGAGUGACGGUAAUGGGUAAAGAAGCACCGGCUAACUACGUGCCAGCAGCCGCGGUGAUACGUAGGGUGCGAGCGUUGUCCGGAUUUAUUGGGCGUAAAGGGCUCGUAGGUGGUUGAUCGCGUCGGAAGUGUAAUCUUGGGGCUUAACCCUGAGCGUGCUUUCGAUACGGGUUGACUUGAGGAAGGUAGGGGAGAAUGGAAUUCCUGGUGGAGCGGUGGAAUGCGCAGAUAUCAGGAGGAACACCAGUGGCGAAGGCGGUUCUCUGGGCCUUUCCUGACGCUGAGGAGCGAAAGCGUGGGGAGCGAACAGGCUUAGAUACCCUGGUAGUCCACGCUGUAAACGGUGGGUACUAGGUGUGGGGUCCAUUCCACGGGUUCCGUGCCGUAGCUAACGCUUUAAGUACCCCGCCUGGGGAGUACGGCCGCAAGGCUAAAACUCAAAGGAAUUGACGGGGCCCCGCACAAGCGGCGGAGCAUGCGGAUUAAUUCGAUGCAACGCGUAGAACCUUACCUGGGUUUGACAUGGAUCGGGAGUGCUCAGAGAUGGGUGUGCCUCUUUUGGGGUCGGUUCACAGGUGGUGCAUGCCUGUCGUCAGCUCGUGUCGUGAGAUGUUGGGUUAAGUCCCGCAACGAGCGCAACCCUUGUUCACUGUUGCCAGCACGUUAUGGUGGGGACUCAGUGGAGACCGCCGGGGUCAACUCGGAGGAAGGUGGGGAUGACGUCAAGUCAUCAUGCCCCUUAUGUCCAGGGCUUCACGCAUGCUACAAUGGCUGGUACAGAGAGUGGCGAGCCUGUGAGGGUGAGCGAAUCUCGGAAAGCCGGUCUCAGUUCGGAUUGGGGUCUGCAACUCGACCUCAUGAAGUCGGAGUCGCUAGUAAUCGCAGAUCAGCAACGCUGCGGUGAAUACGUUCCCGGGGCU
This 1346-nucleotide ribosomal RNA is filed under the name uncultured bacterium. RNAcentral's name for it is "partial 16S ribosomal RNA". It matches the Rfam family "Bacterial small subunit ribosomal RNA", at positions 28 to 1381 of the family's 1533-position model. The record is from RNAcentral.